AAAAAAAAAAAUUUGAAGAAAAGUUCAUGUAAAAUUAGCGCUCCUGAAUCUUUCUAAUAUUUUGUCCCUUUUCUAACUUUCUCCCCCGCGUGUCAUGGUUUAGAAAGGGUAGGGAGGGGGCUGGGCAGUGCGUUU
RNAcentral lists this non-coding RNA (135 nucleotides) under Nephroselmis pyriformis. Lineage: Eukaryota; Viridiplantae; Chlorophyta; Nephroselmidophyceae; Nephroselmidales; Nephroselmidaceae. The record is from RNAcentral.